GAUGAACGCUAGCGACAGGCCUAACACAUGCAAGUCGAGGGGCAGCGGGGAUGAAGCUUGCUUCAUCUGCCGGCGACCGGCGCACGGGUGAGUAACACGUAUGCAACCUGCCCAUUGCAGGGGGAUAAGCAGAAGAAAUUCUGUCUAAUACCGCGUAAUAUGAGAUUGAGGCAUCUCGGUUUCAUUAAAGAUUUAUCGGCAAUGGAUGGGCAUGCGGCGCAUUAGCUAGUUGGCGGGGUAACGGCCCACCAAGGCGACGAUGCGUAGGGGUUCUGAGAGGAAGGUCCCCCCACACUGGUACUGAGACACGGACCAGACUCCUACGGGAGGCAGCAGUGAGGAAUAUUGGUCAAUGGGCGAGAGCCUGAACCAGCCAAGUCGCGUGAGGGAAGACGGUCCUAUGGAUUGUAAACCUCUUUUGUCGGGGAGCAAGGGCUCUACGUGUAGAGUGGUGAGAGUACCCGAAGAAAAAGCAUCGGCUAACUCC
Molecule: ribosomal RNA, 487 nt
Filed under: uncultured bacterium
Lineage: Bacteria
Description: bacterial SSU rRNA
Rfam family: Bacterial small subunit ribosomal RNA
Source: RNAcentral